AAAAGAGAACUUGGCAACAACAAAAAUACAAAAAAAGUAGAGAUGCCUGUCACAUUAUUAAAAUUAUAAAACCACCACCCAUCUGCAGAUCACUACAACUUCAUCUUCUUCUCCAAUAGAUCUUGCAUCUUUCUUCCACUUUCUCCCAUCAACUGCUAGAUUUCUUCAAUUAAUCAUGAAGGAUCUGUUGUGUGGAUGUUUAUCAAAUCAAGCUUCUUGAAGGUGAUUCUGCUGGAUCUGUCAUGGUGUUUUAUUUGUGGAUGCAGGGUUGGCAAUAACAAAUUUGGACCACAAGAGUGUAACAUAUCAGGAAUAAGGAGCAACGGAUGUACGGCUCGAAGAUGAAAUGUUUCGUGCGAUGGAACCCUCACCUGGGUGGAUCAAUAUACCCAAGAGAGAUACUAUGAUUUUGAUGAUUGGAAACUAUAACAACCGUUUGGUGUAAAUUAGGAUCUACGUUGAGUAGCAUGGAUAUUUUGAAUCUAUAUGAAUGUGGUCCAUUAAUUGCACAGAUUCUAAAUUAGGAAACUUUGGUUUUCAUGUAAAUAUUUCAUUCUCAAUGCUGCUUCUAUCACAAUAACUACCGUGUCCAUUAAACAACACCGACAAUAUGAUCGUUUUGGAUGGUUUUGUUGACUUGGUUGUUAAUGUGAUAGAAGCAGCAUUGAGAGUGAAAUAUUUACAUGGAAACCAAAGCUUUAUAAUUUCGAAACUGUGCAAUAAAUCUUCCGCCAGAUACAAAAAUAGCUAUGCUAUUGAAAUGUAGAUCCUAAUCUACACCAUAGGGUUAUAUUACUCUCUUUUGAUCUUAUUGAUGGUUAUAGUACUUCUCAAGGAAUCCCUAUCUGCUCAGGUGACGGUUCCAUAUCAUGAAAAGAUUACAACUUCUAGCAUAUGUAUUGUUAUAAUUGCAAUGGUGAAAUGUAUGUUCCACCUAAUCAGUCUUUGUGAGAUGAGUUUGUUAAAUGUUCGAUUGUUUUGUCUCGUAUAUUAUUUAACACAAAUUCACAAUACGCAUUACAUGUGUUCUUGCCUUACACUCGAUCUUUACGCUCCAUGGCUACUGAUUUCCAUGUUUGUUGUUAAUUGAACCUAUAGCCAUUGGUGUCAUCUCUUCAUUUGCAAGAAAUUACUGUUUAACACAAGAAAUCUUGAUGUGAAUCCUUACUGUAACAGAUAUACAACUACACAAGAAGCUGAAAUCUGUUGGUGAAUUUGUGCCAGAUUAUGGUUUUGGUGAUGCAUACAUUGAAUGGACUGAUAUCAACUGUUUUAUUUAAUAGUGACAAAAUAAAUCACAACCAGCACCCUACAGAUAGGGAUGGCAAAAAUAACCGAGCCCGGCAGGUAUACCCAAAACCCGACACAAAUGGGACGGGUAUACCCGAUACCCGACGGGUAUUG
This 1404-nucleotide long non-coding RNA is filed under the name Helianthus annuus (common sunflower). Lineage: Eukaryota; Viridiplantae; Streptophyta; Magnoliopsida; Asterales; Asteraceae. The record is from RNAcentral.